RNAcentral lists this ribosomal RNA (382 nucleotides) under uncultured Aminivibrio sp. RNAcentral's name for it is "bacterial SSU rRNA". It matches the Rfam family "Bacterial small subunit ribosomal RNA", at positions 528 to 911 of the family's 1533-position model. Lineage: Bacteria; Thermotogati; Synergistota; Synergistia; Synergistales; Aminobacteriaceae. The record is from RNAcentral.
UAGGGGACGAGCGUUGUCCGGAAUUACUGGGCGUAAAGGGCGCGCAGGCUGUGCUGCAAGUCAGCUGUGAAAUAUCUGGGCUUAACCUGGAUAUGCGGUUGAGACUGCAGUGCUGGAGUGCUGUAGAGGCAAGUGGAAUUCCCAGUGUAGCGGUGAAAUGCGUAGAUAUUGGGAAGAACACCGGUGGCGAAGGCGACUUGCUGGGCAGCAACUGACGCUGAGGCGCGAAAGCCAGGGGAGCAAACGGGAUUAGAUACCCCGGUAGUCCUGGCCGUAAACGAUGAAUGCUAGGUGUGGGUGUAGAGAUACAUUCGUGCCGGAGUUAACGCGAUAAGCAUUCCGCCUGGGGAGUACGGUCGCAAGAUUGAAACUCAAAGGAAUU